RNAcentral lists this ribosomal RNA (775 nucleotides) under uncultured Neocallimastigales. RNAcentral's name for it is "partial large subunit ribosomal RNA". It matches the Rfam family "Eukaryotic large subunit ribosomal RNA", at positions 18 to 643 of the family's 3401-position model. Lineage: Eukaryota; Fungi; Neocallimastigomycota; Neocallimastigomycetes; Neocallimastigales. The record is from RNAcentral.
UCAGACGAUGCGUCAUGCAUAUCAAUAAGCGGAGGAAAAGAAACUAACAAGGAUUCCCCUAGUAACGGCGAGUGAAGCGGGAAGAGCUCAAAUUUGAAAUCUUAAAGGGUUUCCCUUUACGAAUUGUAGUUUAAAGAAGUGUUUUCUGUUGAGGUUUUGGUAAAAGUUCUUUGGAAUAGGACAUCAUAGAGGGUGAGAAUCCCGUAUUUGACCUUUACUUUCAACUUUGUGAUACACUUUCAAAGAGUCGGAUUGUUUGGGAAUGCAGUCCAAAAUGGGUGGUAAAUUUCAUCUAAAGCUAAUUAUUGGCGAGAAACCGAUAGCGAACAAGUACCGUGAGGGAAAGAUGAAAAGAACUUUGAAAAGAGAGUUAAACAGUACGUGAAAUUGUCAAAAGGGAAGCGUUUGACACCAGUGUUGCUUUUUCUGAAAAUCAAUUAAAGAACUGUUUAUGCUAAGCUGUUUAGACUUUAUCAGCUAUCUGUUUAGUUUUGAGCUUUUCUUUAAUGCACUUUUCAGUUAACAAGUCAACAUCAAUUUCUUUUGCUGUAAAAAAGCUUGAGGAAGGUGGCUUGAGAUUCGUCUUAAGUGUUUAUAGCCCCUUGCCUAUGCAGUCGGAGAGAUUGAGGUCUGCAGCGUAGAUCCUUCGGGGCUAAAUGCAUUUGUGCUAAGUUAUAGCAUUUUAUAGACAACUUGUUGACUAUGAUUUGUCUUGUAGCUUACUCGCUUAUGUUAUUUUACCUACGCUUAGGAUGUUGACACACGCGCGUGCUCG